GUGGGGAAUUUUGGACAAUGGGGGGAACCCUGAUCCAGCCAUGCCGCGUGUGUGAAGAAGGCCUUUUGGUUGUAAAGCACUUUAAGCGAGGAGGAGGCUACCGAGAUUAAUACUCUUGGAUAGUGGACGUUACUCGCAGAAUAAGCACCGGCUAACUCUGUGCCAGCAGCCGCGGUAAUACAGAGGGUGCAAGCGUUAAUCGGAUUUACUGGGCGUAAAGCGCGCGUAGGUGGCCAAUUAAGUCAAAUGUGAAAUCCCCGAGCUUAACUUGGGAAUUGCAUUCGAUACUGGUUGGCUAGAGUAUGGGAGAGGAUGGUAGAAUUCCAGGUGUAGCGGUGAAAUGCGUAGAGAUCUGGAGGAAUACCGAUGGCGAAGGCAGCCAUCUGGCCUAAUACUGACACUGAGGUGCGAAAGCAUGGGGAGCAAACAGGAUUAGAUACCCCAGUAGUCC
This 451-nucleotide ribosomal RNA is filed under the name uncultured bacterium. Its description in RNAcentral is "partial 16S ribosomal RNA". It matches the Rfam family "Bacterial small subunit ribosomal RNA", at positions 354 to 796 of the family's 1533-position model. The record is from RNAcentral.